GCCUAGCUGGCUCAGUAGGUAGGGCAUGCAACUCUUGAUCUCGGGGUUGUGAGUUCGAGCCCCAUGUUAGGCA
This 73-nucleotide transfer RNA is filed under the name Ailuropoda melanoleuca (giant panda). It matches the Rfam family "tRNA". From Rfam's summary of the family: Transfer RNA (tRNA) molecules are approximately 80 nucleotides in length. Their secondary structure includes four short double-helical elements and three loops (D, anti-codon, and T loops). Lineage: Eukaryota; Metazoa; Chordata; Mammalia; Carnivora; Ursidae. The record is from Rfam by way of RNAcentral.